Molecule: ribosomal RNA, 1284 nt
Filed under: Bacillus cereus
Lineage: Bacteria; Bacillati; Bacillota; Bacilli; Caryophanales; Bacillaceae
Also listed under: 3 other names
Description: bacterial LSU rRNA
Rfam family: Bacterial large subunit ribosomal RNA
Source: RNAcentral
UAAAAGGUGCCUGUACCGCAAACCGACACAGGUAGGCGAGGAGAGAAUCCUAAGGUGUGCGAGAGAACUCUGGUUAAGGAACUCGGCAAAAUGACCCCGUAACUUCGGGAGAAGGGGUGCUUUCUUAACGGAAAGCCGCAGUGAAUAGGCCCAAGCGACUGUUUAGCAAAAACACAGCUCUCUGCGAAGCCGUAAGGCGAAGUAUAGGGGGUGACACCUGCCCGGUGCUGGAAGGUUAAGGAGAGGGGUUAGCGUAAGCGAAGCUCUGAACUGAAGCCCCAGUAAACGGCGGCCGUAACUAUAACGGUCCUAAGGUAGCGAAAUUCCUUGUCGGGUAAGUUCCGACCCGCACGAAAGGUGUAACGAUUUGGGCACUGUCUCAACCAGAGACUCGGUGAAAUUAUAGUACCUGUGAAGAUGCAGGUUACCCGCGACAGGACGGAAAGACCCCGUGGAGCUUUACUGUAGCCUGAUAUUGAAUUUUGGUACAGUUUGUACAGGAUAGGCGGGAGCCAUUGAAACCGGAGCGCUAGCUUCGGUGGAGGCGCUGGUGGGAUACCGCCCUGACUGUAUUGAAAUUCUAACCUACGGGUCUUAUCGACCCGGGAGACAGUGUCAGGUGGGCAGUUUGACUGGGGCGGUCGCCUCCUAAAGUGUAACGGAGGCGCCCAAAGGUUCCCUCAGAAUGGUUGGAAAUCAUUCGUAGAGUGCAAAGGCAUAAGGGAGCUUGACUGCGAGACCUACAAGUCGAGCAGGGACGAAAGUCGGGCUUAGUGAUCCGGUGGUUCCGCAUGGAAGGGCCAUCGCUCAACGGAUAAAAGCUACCCCGGGGAUAACAGGCUUAUCUCCCCCAAGAGUCCACAUCGACGGGGAGGUUUGGCACCUCGAUGUCGGCUCAUCGCAUCCUGGGGCUGUAGUCGGUCCCAAGGGUUGGGCUGUUCGCCCAUUAAAGCGGUACGCGAGCUGGGUUCAGAACGUCGUGAGACAGUUCGGUCCCUAUCCGUCGUGGGCGUAGGAAAUUUGAGAGGAGCUGUCCUUAGUACGAGAGGACCGGGAUGGACGCACCGCUGGUGUACCAGUUGUUCUGCCAAGGGCAUAGCUGGGUAGCUAUGUGCGGAAGGGAUAAGUGCUGAAAGCAUCUAAGCAUGAAGCCCCCCUCAAGAUGAGAUUUCCCAUAGCGUAAGCUAGUAAGAUCCCUGAAAGAUGAUCAGGUUGAUAGGUUCGAGGUGGAAGCAUGGUGACAUGUGGAGCUGACGAAUACUAAUAGAUCGAGGACUUAACCAU